CUAACAGUGAGAAAUAACAGUGCGUGUUAGCAACUUGAAUCCACUACUCAUAAGCUCAGUCAUGAAUAGAUGUUUAUCAGGAAAAUAACUACAAUAAAAUAGGAAUUGCUACAUAUAUGAAGUCAUACAAGUAAUAGAUUGAAAUGGUACAACACAAAUUAGCAUAAGGCUCUAAACUAAGAAAAGGACAAAAUGAUACUUGACUCGUGAACAGAAGUAGAGCAUCACUCGGCUUCAAGAGAAGAGGUGCCAUGACGUACACGGAAGCAGCUACAGAUAGCCCUUAACUUGCCUAAUCAUGAUCUCCACAGUGUUAUGACACUACUUUUACAGGAUACCUGUCGAUACAAUCCUCCCAGGGACCAUCGGGAGAAGGCUUUACAUUUCGUAGUGCCUUUCUUCAUUCUUCCUUUGGCCUCUAUAUACGCCAAUUCAUACCAGAUAGAGCUGGAUGAAGUAUUUCCAAAGCGGUGCAGGGUCAUUCGAGAUGCCUCAACGUGAACCUGUGUCAGCUGUAAAUUCUUUUCCAGCUCGUCAAUAACAGCCCUUCCACCAGCGUGUAUGCAGAAAUGAUCAAAGGCCAACUUGAAAUCUGGAAUGUAAGGCUUGAUAUGCUUAUUGAAUAUUUUCUUAAUUAUCAGAGAACCAAAGAACAGAAGCUGCUCACUGAUGGGUAGAACAAGAGGACCCAAUGUAGUGAUAUUCGUCUUAAGCGCUCCACCAGCGAUUGCCAUGAGAUCUUUUGACAAAGAAACCCCA
This 759-nucleotide unclassified non-coding RNA is filed under the name Hevea brasiliensis (rubber tree). Lineage: Eukaryota; Viridiplantae; Streptophyta; Magnoliopsida; Malpighiales; Euphorbiaceae. The record is from RNAcentral.